GAUGAAGAACGUAGCGAAAUGCGAUAAGUAAUGUGAAUUGCAGAAUUCAGUGAAUCAUCGAAUCUUUGAACGCACAUUGCGCCCGCCAGUAUUCUGGCGGGCAUGCCUGUUCGAGCGUCAUUUCAACCAUCAAGCCCCAGGCUUGUGUUGGGGACCUGCGGCUGCCGCAGGCCCUGAAAACCAGUGGCGGGCUCGCUGUCACACCGGGCGUAGUAGAUUUUAUCUCGCUCAGGGCGUGCUGCGGGUACCGGCCGUUAAAAAGCCUUUUUUACCCAAGGUUGACCUCGGAUCAGGUAGGAAGACCCGCUGAACUUAAGCAUAUCAAUAAGCGGAGGA
This 336-nucleotide unclassified non-coding RNA is filed under the name soil metagenome. RNAcentral's name for it is "partial contains 5.8S ribosomal RNA, internal transcribed spacer 2, and large subunit ribosomal RNA". The stretch from base 1 to 120 matches the Rfam family "5.8S ribosomal RNA", at positions 35 to 154 of the family's 154-position model. The record is from RNAcentral.